GAUGAACGCUGGCGGCGUGCCUAAUACAUGCAAGUCGAGCGAACAGACGAGGAGCUUGCUCCUCUGACGUUAGCGGCGGACGGGUGAUUAACACGUGGAUAACCUACCUAUAAGACUGGGAUAACUUCGGGAAACCUGAGCUAAUACCGGAUAAUAUAUUGAACCGCAUGGUUCAAUAGUGAAAGACGGUUUUGCUGUCACUUAUAGAUGGAACCGCGCCGCAUUAGCUAGUUGGUAAGGUAACGGCUUACCAAGGCGACGAUGCGUAGCCGACCUGAGAGGGUGAUCGGCCACACUGGAACUGAGACACGGUCCAGACUCCUACGGGAGGCAGCAGUAGGGAAUCUUCCGCAAUGGGCGAAAGCCUGACGGAGCAACGCCGCGUGAGUGAUGAAGGUCUUCGGAUCGUAAAACUCUGUUAUUAGGGAAGAACAAAUGUGUAAGUAACUAUGCACGUCUUGACGGUACCUAAUCAGAAAGCCACGGCUAACUACGUG
This 497-nucleotide ribosomal RNA is filed under the name uncultured bacterium. Its description in RNAcentral is "partial 16S ribosomal RNA". It matches the Rfam family "Bacterial small subunit ribosomal RNA", at positions 28 to 507 of the family's 1533-position model. The record is from RNAcentral.